UACGUAGGGACCAAGCGUUGUUCGGAUUUACUGGGCGUAAAGGGCGCGUAGGCGGCGUGACAAGUCAAUUGUGAAAUCUCCGGGCUUAACUCGGAGCGGUCAAUUGAUACUGUUGUGCUAGAGUACAGAAGGGGCAAUCGGAAUUCUUGGUGUAGCGGUGAAAUGCGUAGAUAUCAAGAGGAACACCUGAGGUGAAGACGGGUUGCUGGGCUGAUACUGACGCUGAGGCGCGAAAGCUAGGGUAGCAAACGGG
Molecule: ribosomal RNA, 253 nt
Filed under: uncultured bacterium
Lineage: Bacteria
Description: partial 16S ribosomal RNA
Rfam family: Bacterial small subunit ribosomal RNA
Source: RNAcentral